Molecule: long non-coding RNA, 223 nt
Organism: Cyprinodon variegatus (sheepshead minnow)
Lineage: Eukaryota; Metazoa; Chordata; Actinopteri; Cyprinodontiformes; Cyprinodontidae
Exons: 3
Source: RefSeq, a predicted model, not a curated record
AGAUCUGAAUGAGAACAACCUGACAAUCAUAAGCAAGAUGGAUUUCUCUGGUCUUAAACAUCUCAGAGUUCUUCACCUGAUGGAGAACCAGAUCAGUAACAUUGAAAGAGGAGCCUUUGAUGAGCUGAAGGAGCUGGAAAGACUUCGUCUGAAUAGAAACCGUCUCAGCCAGCUUCCAGAACUGCUCUUUCAGAAGAAUGAAGCAUUGUCUCGACUGUGAGUG